CUUAACACAUGCAAGUCGAGGGGCAUCAGGAAGAAAGCUUGCUUUCUUUGCUGGCGACCGGCGCACGGGUGAGUAACACGUAUCCAACCUGCCCUUUACUCGGGGAUAGCCUUUCGAAAGAAAGAUUAAUACCCGAUGGCAUAAUGAUUCCGCAUGGUUUCAUUAUUAAAGGAUUCCGGUAAAGGAUGGGGAUGCGUUCCAUUAGGUUGUUGGUGAGGUAACGGCUCACCAAGCCUUCGAUGGAUAGGGGUUCUGAGAGGAAGGUCCCCCACAUUGGAACUGAGACACGGUCCAAACUCCUACGGGAGGCAGCAGUGAGGAAUAUUGGUCAAUGGGCGCUAGCCUGAACCAGCCAAGUAGCGUGAAGGAUGAAGGCUCUAUGGGUCGUAAACUUCUUUUAUAUAAGAAUAAAGUGCAGUAUGUAUACUGUUUUGUAUGUAUUAUAUGAAUAAGGAUCGGCUAACUCCGUGCCAGCAGCCGCGGUAAUACGGAGGAUCCGAGCGUUAUCCGGAUUUAUUGGGUUUAAAGGGAGCGUAGGUGGACUGGUAAGUCAGUUGUGAAAGUUUGCGGCUCAACCGUAAAAUUGCAGUUGAUACUGUCAGUCUUGAGUACAGUAGAGGUGGGCGGAAUUCGUGGUGUAGCGGUGAAAUGCUUAGAUAUCACGAAGAACUCCGAUUGCGAAGGCAGCUCACUGGACUGCAACUGACACUGAUGCUCGAAAGUGUGGGUAUCAAACAGGAUUAGAUACCCUGGUAGUCCACACAGUAAACGAUGAAUACUCGCUGUUUGCGAUAUACAGUAAGCGGCCAAGCGAAAGCAUUAAGUAUUCCACCUGGGGAGUACGCCGGCAACGGUGAAACUCAAAGGAAUUGACGGGGGCCCGCACAAGCGGAGGAACAUGUGGUUUAAUUCGAUGAUACGCGAGGAACCUUACCCGGGCUUAAAUUGCAGUGGAAUGAUGUGGAAACAUGUCAGUGAGCAAUCACCGCUGUGAAGGUGCUGCAUGGUUGUCGUCAGCUCGUGCCGUGAGGUGUCGGCUUAAGUGCCAUAACGAGCGCAACCCUUAUCUUUAGUUACUAACAGGUUAUGCUGAGGACUCUAGAGAGACUGCCGUCGUAAGAUGUGAGGAAGGUGGGGAUGACGUCAAAUCAGCACGGCCCUUACGUCCGGGGCUACACACGUGUUACAAUGGGGGGUACAGAAGGCAGCUAGCGGGUGACCGUAUGCUAAUCCCAAAAGCCUCUCUCAGUUCGGAUCGAAGUCUGCAACCCGACUUCGUGAAGCUGGAUUCGCUAGUAAUCGCGCAUCAGCCACGGCGCGGUGAAUACGUUCCCGGGCCUUGUACACACCGCCCGUCAAGCCAUGGGAGCCGGGGGUACCUGAAGUACGUAACCGCAAGGAUCGUCCUAGGGUAAAACUGGUGACUGGGGCUAAGUC
Molecule: ribosomal RNA, 1437 nt
Filed under: uncultured organism
Description: 16S ribosomal RNA
Rfam family: Bacterial small subunit ribosomal RNA
Source: RNAcentral